GACGAACGCUGGCGGCGUGCUUAACACAUGCAAGUCGAACGGAAAGGCCCUGCUUUUGUGGGGUGCUCGAGUGGCGAACGGGUGAGUAACACAUGAGUAACCUGCCCUUGACUUUGGGAUAACUUCAGGAAACUGGGGCUAAUACCGGAGAGGAGCUCCUGCUGCAUGGUGGGGGUUGGAAAGUUUCGGCGGUUGGGGGUGGACUCGAGGCUUAUCAGCUGGUUGGUGGGGUAGUGGCGUACCAAGGCUUUGACGGGUAGGCCGCCUGAGAGGGUGACCGGCCACAUUGGGACUGCGAGACGGCCCAGACUCCUACGGGAGGCAGCAGUGGGGAAUAUUGCACAAUGGGCGGACGCCUGAUGCAGCAACGCCGCGUGCGGGAUGACGGCCUUCGGGUUGUAAACCGCUUUCGCCUGAGACGAAGCGUGAGUGACGGUAAUGGGUAAAGAAGCACCGGCUAACUACGUG
RNAcentral lists this ribosomal RNA (468 nucleotides) under uncultured bacterium. RNAcentral's name for it is "partial 16S ribosomal RNA". It matches the Rfam family "Bacterial small subunit ribosomal RNA", at positions 28 to 507 of the family's 1533-position model. The record is from RNAcentral.